UACGUAGGGAGCAAGCGUUGUCCGGAAUCAUUGGGCGUAAAGCGCGCGUAGGCGGCCUCAUAAGUCCGUUGUGAAAGUCAAAGGCUCAACCUUUGAAAGCCGAUGGAUACUGUGAGGCUAGAGUCCGGAAGAGGCGAGUGGAAUUCCUGGUGUAGCGGUGGAAUGCGCAGAUAUCAGGAGGAACACCAAUGGCGAAGGCAGCUCGCUGGGACGGUACUGACGCUGAGACGCGAAAGCGUGGGGAGCAAACAGG
RNAcentral lists this ribosomal RNA (253 nucleotides) under uncultured bacterium. RNAcentral describes it as "partial 16S ribosomal RNA". It matches the Rfam family "Bacterial small subunit ribosomal RNA", at positions 524 to 776 of the family's 1533-position model. The record is from RNAcentral.